GUAGUCCACGCCGUAAACGAUCGGCACUUGAGGUGGGCCCUGUCCGGGGUCCGUCUCGCAGCCAACGCGAUAAGUGCCGCGCCUGGGGAGUACGGUCGCAAGACUGAAACUCAAAGGAAUUGACGGGGGCCCGCACAAGCGGUGGAACAUGUGGUUCAAUUCGACGCAACGCGAAGAACCUUACCUGGGCUCGAAAUGCCGGUGACCAUCCGUAGAAAUAUGGACUUCCCGCAAGGGACACCAGUAUAGGUGCUGCAUGGCUGUCGUCAGCUCGUGUCGUGAGAUGUUGGGUUAAGUCCCGCAACGAGCGCAACCCUCGCCUUUAGUUGCCAUCAUUUAGUUGGGCACUCUAGAGGGACUGCCGGUGAUAAGCCGGAGGAAGGUGGGGAUGACGUCAAGUCCUCAUGGCCCUUACGGGUUGGGCUACACACGUGCUACAAUGGCGGUGACAGAGGGGAGCGAACCCGCGAGGGUUAGCCGAUCCCAAAAAGCCGUCUCAGUUCGGAUUGCACUCUGCAACUCGAGUGCAUGAAGUCGGAAUCGCUAGUAAUCGCGGAUCAGCAUGCCGCGGUGAAUA
Molecule: ribosomal RNA, 577 nt
Filed under: uncultured Alphaproteobacteria bacterium
Lineage: Bacteria; Pseudomonadati; Pseudomonadota; Alphaproteobacteria
Description: bacterial SSU rRNA
Rfam family: Bacterial small subunit ribosomal RNA
Source: RNAcentral